This 712-nucleotide long non-coding RNA is filed under the name Vulpes vulpes (red fox). RNAcentral describes it as "lncRNA (ENSVVUG00000026375.1)". The record is from RNAcentral. Lineage: Eukaryota; Metazoa; Chordata; Mammalia; Carnivora; Canidae.
GUUUGAGAACCAUGAUGUUGGAUGACCAGUAACUUCCCAUUGAUUUUAAACUAAUUGAUUUACUUAAUUUCACACACACACACACACACACACACACACACACAGACACAUGAUUAAAAAUGUCUGCUGAGUCUGGUCCAGGGGUUAAGGAAGGAAAGAUCUUAAAAGGGCCACUGUCUUUCCAGCCAGCAAACUAUGACACAACCAAUGUUUGGAAUUAUCAUGGGAAGAGAUUUAUACAAAGGGGGAAAAAUGGCAUUUCUACCAGCAGAGAGGAUCCCAGGAACCAAUCAAGCUCCUGUGAGAGUCUCCAGAGUAAAAAAAAUUCCUAAUAAAAAAUGGAAUCCAUUUGCCAUAUGGAUUAUUUCCAUCUUAGGCAUGAUAUUUAGGUAAUGUCUACUCUUUUUCACUUGGUUCUGAUGAGAUCAACAUAACUACUAGUUCUGCAAAUUGUAAACCUCACUAGGGGAUAAAAUUAUCCACAUCACUUGUCAAGCAACAUGGCAAAGAAACAGUUUUCAGAUGUAAAUGUUAACUUUCCUUUUCAUCUGAGACAUUUUCUCUCUAUAUCCUCUACCACAUUGCAUGGCAAUCUCUUAAAAAUACAGAAGAUGUGCCUAUUUGUAAAGUGUUCCUGGCUACCAUUUUGUUUAUAAAAAUUAACUGAAUCACUAAAUAUACUAAAGGUAUUUUAUUGCUCAAAUUCAGUAGC